This 458-nucleotide ribosomal RNA is filed under the name uncultured bacterium. RNAcentral describes it as "partial 16S ribosomal RNA". It matches the Rfam family "Bacterial small subunit ribosomal RNA", at positions 338 to 795 of the family's 1533-position model. The record is from RNAcentral.
CCUACGGGGGGCAGCAGUGAGGAAUAUUGGUCAAUGGGCAAGAGACUGAACCAGCCAAGUCGCGUGAGGGAGUACUGCCCUAUGGGUUGUAAACCUCUUUUGUAGGGGAGCAAAAGCCGGACGUGUCCGGCUGUGAGAGUACCCGAAGAAAAAGCAUCGGCUAACUCCGUGCCAGCAGCCGCGGUAAUACGGAGGAUGCGAGCGUUAUCCGGAUUUAUUGGGUUUAAGGGGUGCGCAGGCGGAUUUUUAAGUCAGCGGUCAAAUCGUGGGGCUCAACCCCAUCCAGCCGUUGAAACUGGGGAUCUUGAGUGGGCGAGAAGUAUGCGGAAUGCGUGGUGUAGCGGUGAAAUGCAUAGAUAUCACGCAGAACUCCGAUUGCGAAGGCAGCAUACCGGCGCCCGACUGACGCUGAGGCACGAAAGCGUGGGGAUCGAACAGGAUUAGAUACCCUUGUAGUC